Molecule: ribosomal RNA, 1536 nt
Filed under: Klebsiella quasipneumoniae
Lineage: Bacteria; Pseudomonadati; Pseudomonadota; Gammaproteobacteria; Enterobacterales; Enterobacteriaceae
Also listed under: 1 other name
Description: bacterial SSU rRNA
Rfam family: Bacterial small subunit ribosomal RNA
Source: RNAcentral
UUGAAGAGUUUGAUCAUGGCUCAGAUUGAACGCUGGCGGCAGGCCUAACACAUGCAAGUCGAGCGGUAGCACAGAGAGCUUGCUCUCGGGUGACGAGCGGCGGACGGGUGAGUAAUGUCUGGGAAACUGCCUGAUGGAGGGGGAUAACUACUGGAAACGGUAGCUAAUACCGCAUAACGUCGCAAGACCAAAGUGGGGGACCUUCGGGCCUCAUGCCAUCAGAUGUGCCCAGAUGGGAUUAGCUAGUAGGUGGGGUAACGGCUCACCUAGGCGACGAUCCCUAGCUGGUCUGAGAGGAUGACCAGCCACACUGGAACUGAGACACGGUCCAGACUCCUACGGGAGGCAGCAGUGGGGAAUAUUGCACAAUGGGCGCAAGCCUGAUGCAGCCAUGCCGCGUGUGUGAAGAAGGCCUUCGGGUUGUAAAGCACUUUCAGCGGGGAGGAAGGCGAUAAGGUUAAUAACCUUGUCGAUUGACGUUACCCGCAGAAGAAGCACCGGCUAACUCCGUGCCAGCAGCCGCGGUAAUACGGAGGGUGCAAGCGUUAAUCGGAAUUACUGGGCGUAAAGCGCACGCAGGCGGUCUGUCAAGUCGGAUGUGAAAUCCCCGGGCUCAACCUGGGAACUGCAUUCGAAACUGGCAGGCUAGAGUCUUGUAGAGGGGGGUAGAAUUCCAGGUGUAGCGGUGAAAUGCGUAGAGAUCUGGAGGAAUACCGGUGGCGAAGGCGGCCCCCUGGACAAAGACUGACGCUCAGGUGCGAAAGCGUGGGGAGCAAACAGGAUUAGAUACCCUGGUAGUCCACGCCGUAAACGAUGUCGAUUUGGAGGUUGUGCCCUUGAGGCGUGGCUUCCGGAGCUAACGCGUUAAAUCGACCGCCUGGGGAGUACGGCCGCAAGGUUAAAACUCAAAUGAAUUGACGGGGGCCCGCACAAGCGGUGGAGCAUGUGGUUUAAUUCGAUGCAACGCGAAGAACCUUACCUGGUCUUGACAUCCACAGAACUUAGCAGAGAUGCUUUGGUGCCUUCGGGAACUGUGAGACAGGUGCUGCAUGGCUGUCGUCAGCUCGUGUUGUGAAAUGUUGGGUUAAGUCCCGCAACGAGCGCAACCCUUAUCCUUUGUUGCCAGCGGUCCGGCCGGGAACUCAAAGGAGACUGCCAGUGAUAAACUGGAGGAAGGUGGGGAUGACGUCAAGUCAUCAUGGCCCUUACGACCAGGGCUACACACGUGCUACAAUGGCAUAUACAAAGAGAAGCGACCUCGCGAGAGCAAGCGGACCUCAUAAAGUAUGUCGUAGUCCGGAUUGGAGUCUGCAACUCGACUCCAUGAAGUCGGAAUCGCUAGUAAUCGUAGAUCAGAAUGCUACGGUGAAUACGUUCCCGGGCCUUGUACACACCGCCCGUCACACCAUGGGAGUGGGUUGCAAAAGAAGUAGGUAGCUUAACCUUCGGGAGGGCGCUUACCACUUUGUGAUUCAUGACUGGGGUGAAGUCGUAACAAGGUAACCGUAGGGGAACCUGCGGUUGGAUCACCUCCUU